RNAcentral lists this ribosomal RNA (1517 nucleotides) under Vibrio alginolyticus. RNAcentral describes it as "bacterial SSU rRNA". It matches the Rfam family "Bacterial small subunit ribosomal RNA". The record is from RNAcentral. Lineage: Bacteria; Pseudomonadati; Pseudomonadota; Gammaproteobacteria; Vibrionales; Vibrionaceae.
AGAGUUUGAUCAUGGCUCAGAUUGAACGCUGGCGGCAGGCCUAACACAUGCAAGUCGAGCGGAAACGAGUUAUCUGAACCUUCGGGGAACGAUAACGGCGUCGAGCGGCGGACGGGUGAGUAAUGCCUAGGAAAUUGCCCUGAUGUGGGGGAUAACCAUUGGAAACGAUGGCUAAUACCGCAUGAUGCCUACGGGCCAAAGAGGGGGACCUUCGGGCCUCUCGCGUCAGGAUAUGCCUAGGUGGGAUUAGCUAGUUGGUGAGGUAAGGGCUCACCAAGGCGACGAUCCCUAGCUGGUCUGAGAGGAUGAUCAGCCACACUGGAACUGAGACACGGUCCAGACUCCUACGGGAGGCAGCAGUGGGGAAUAUUGCACAAUGGGCGCAAGCCUGAUGCAGCCAUGCCGCGUGUGUGAAGAAGGCCUUCGGGUUGUAAAGCACUUUCAGUCGUGAGGAAGGUAGUGUAGUUAAUAGCUGCAUUAUUUGACGUUAGCGACAGAAGAAGCACCGGCUAACUCCGUGCCAGCAGCCGCGGUAAUACGGAGGGUGCGAGCGUUAAUCGGAAUUACUGGGCGUAAAGCGCAUGCAGGUGGUUUGUUAAGUCAGAUGUGAAAGCCCGGGGCUCAACCUCGGAAUAGCAUUUGAAACUGGCAGACUAGAGUACUGUAGAGGGGGGUAGAAUUUCAGGUGUAGCGGUGAAAUGCGUAGAGAUCUGAAGGAAUACCGGUGGCGAAGGCGGCCCCCUGGACAGAUACUGACACUCAGAUGCGAAAGCGUGGGGAGCAAACAGGAUUAGAUACCCUGGUAGUCCACGCCGUAAACGAUGUCUACUUGGAGGUUGUGGCCUUGAGCCGUGGCUUUCGGAGCUAACGCGUUAAGUAGACCGCCUGGGGAGUACGGUCGCAAGAUUAAAACUCAAAUGAAUUGACGGGGGCCCGCACAAGCGGUGGAGCAUGUGGUUUAAUUCGAUGCAACGCGAAGAACCUUACCUACUCUUGACAUCCAGAGAACUUUCCAGAGAUGGAUUGGUGCCUUCGGGAACUCUGAGACAGGUGCUGCAUGGCUGUCGUCAGCUCGUGUUGUGAAAUGUUGGGUUAAGUCCCGCAACGAGCGCAACCCUUAUCCUUGUUUGCCAGCGAGUAAUGUCGGGAACUCCAGGGAGACUGCCGGUGAUAAACCGGAGGAAGGUGGGGACGACGUCAAGUCAUCAUGGCCCUUACGAGUAGGGCUACACACGUGCUACAAUGGCGCAUACAGAGGGCGGCCAACUUGCGAAAGUGAGCGAAUCCCAAAAAGUGCGUCGUAGUCCGGAUUGGAGUCUGCAACUCGACUCCAUGAAGUCGGAAUCGCUAGUAAUCGUGGAUCAGAAUGCCACGGUGAAUACGUUCCCGGGCCUUGUACACACCGCCCGUCACACCAUGGGAGUGGGCUGCAAAAGAAGUAGGUAGUUUAACCUUCGGGGGGACGCUUACCACUUUGUGGUUCAUGACUGGGGUGAAGUCGUAACAAGGUAGCGCUA